This 309-nucleotide long non-coding RNA is filed under the name Brassica napus (rape). Its description in RNAcentral is "long non-coding RNA (BNAP_LNC025897)". Lineage: Eukaryota; Viridiplantae; Streptophyta; Magnoliopsida; Brassicales; Brassicaceae. The record is from RNAcentral.
UAUUCUUGAUUGUGGUUGAAAGCUAGGAUGCUUAGAAGGAAUUAAAAGUAGGUUAAUAGUAAACGCUAACCGGUUGAUUAGAUGAAUGAUAGGACAUCCGUGAAAUGGUUGUUUAUUGAAUUGAAUGUGACACCGAGAACGGGUGGCGUCUAGAAAUGAAAGAAAGGAAAGAGUCUAAAGAAAAAGGAAAUGAAUAAAGAAAAGGAAAUGAUAAGAAAAAGGAAAGAAAAUGAAUGAUUAGAAAAGUACCCGGGAAGGGUGGGAUAAAUUACCCAAGAAGGGUGGGAUAAAUUACCCGGGGAAGGGUGA